AAGUCGUAACAAGGUUUCCGUAGGUGAACCUGCGGAAGGAUCAUUAACACGUAUCCACGUUAUCAAACCAAUGAGAACCGUUUUCCCGUCUCCCUGCCGCAUGAAAUGAAUUGGAACCAGUUUGAGGGGGUGAUGGGUGCGAAAGCGCGACCUUCCUGGCACACUGUGUGUUACUCGAAUAGCAAUGUUUGGGUAGCAUGCGACAAUUGUAUUUGUGUUCUGCAGGCUAAUUUUCCUUAUCGCUUUGAUCCCCUCACGAUCGUGGCGGUUUGGGAAGCCCUUCAAACUAUAUUUACCCCCUUUUUGCUAGUUGACUUUUUUAUAUGUGUUGUGUUCAUUGCUUCAUUGCAGUGUUUGCGGCGCACGUUUAUUAAUUGAACGUUAAAAAAAUACAACUCUUAGCAAUGGAUAUCUUGGUUCUC
Molecule: unclassified non-coding RNA, 422 nt
Filed under: fungal sp.
Lineage: Eukaryota; Fungi
Description: partial internal transcribed spacer region
Rfam family: Eukaryotic small subunit ribosomal RNA (bases 1-46)
Source: RNAcentral